Molecule: ribosomal RNA, 526 nt
Filed under: uncultured bacterium
Lineage: Bacteria
Description: bacterial SSU rRNA
Rfam family: Bacterial small subunit ribosomal RNA
Source: RNAcentral
GGCUAACGCUGGCGGCGUGUCUUAGCCAUGCAAGUCGAGCGGACUUAUGGGGUAACUUAUAAGUCAGCGGCGGACGGCGGAGUAACACGUAGCUAACCUACCCUCUGGACGGGGAUAACCUACCGAAAGGUGGGCUAAUACCCGAUGUAGUCAUCCUGUAUAGGGGUGAUGAAAGGUGGGCUUCUGUUUACAAGCUCAUGCUGGAGGAGGGGGCUGCGGCCUAUCAGGUAGUUGGUAGGGUAAUAGCCUACCAAGCCGAUGACGGGUAGCCGGCCUGAGAGGGUGACCGGCCCGAGGGGCACUGAGAUACGGGUCCCACUCCUACGGGAGGCAGCAGGCUAGAAAUUUGGGCAAUGGGGGAACCCUGACCCAGUGACGCCGCGUGCAGGAAGGAGCCCUUCGGGGUGUAAACUGCUGUCGUGUAGGGAGAAGGGUACUAAGGUGAACAAUCUUAGUACUUGACGGUACUACAGGAGGAAGCCCAGGCUAACCUCGUGCCAGCAGCCCGACGGUAAAAUAGCGUACU